This 253-nucleotide ribosomal RNA is filed under the name uncultured bacterium. Its description in RNAcentral is "partial 16S ribosomal RNA". It matches the Rfam family "Bacterial small subunit ribosomal RNA", at positions 524 to 776 of the family's 1533-position model. The record is from RNAcentral.
UACGUAGGGGGCAAGCGUUGUCCGGAAUCAUUGGGCGUAAAGAGCGUGUAGGCGGCCUGGUAAGUCCGCUGUGAAAGUCCAGGGCUCAACCCUGGAAUGCCGGUGGAAACUGUCAGGCUCGAGUCCGGAAGAGGCGAGUGGAAUUCCUGGUGUAGCGGUGAAAUGCGCAGAUAUCAGGAGGAACACCGAUGGCGAAGGCAGGUCUCUGGGCCACUACUGACGCUGAGGCACGAAAGCUAGGGGAGCAAACAGG